This is a long non-coding RNA of Myodes glareolus (Bank vole), 634 nucleotides long. RefSeq lists it as uncharacterized. Lineage: Eukaryota; Metazoa; Chordata; Mammalia; Rodentia; Cricetidae. The record is from RefSeq and is a predicted model, not a curated record.
AGGAACCGGAAGCGACCGCGGCCAUCUUAGGUGUCCGCUUCAUGUCUGGAAAGACGCUCCGCAGCUAUCACAACACCGGGACGGAACCGAAGCUCUCGGCCCCUCUUGGUGCAGUUCUCGACUGUCAGAGGAUCACACUGCUCCCCAAGUGCAAACUCAAGUGCUAAGCCGAGCUUUUGAUCCUCGGGAGAUACUCUUGGUGUCAACUUUCUUAAUAGUUCCUGGAGACAAGAGAGCUCGUCCUGGAGGCCAGAGACUGUAACUGCUGAGGAGCCCAUCUGGGGAGGAGAAAAGAAGGGCACAAAGGGUCACUGGCUACAUAGAAGCCUCCACAUCGGAGAAGGUCACUGCCGCUGGGGUGGUGCCAGGACAAGCGCUUCAUAAGGAUGAGAAGAGGGUCAUUGUGGAAGAACUAUUCUUAAGCUACCCUUGUCCCGACAAUGACCUCACAGGAAGCCCUCCAAUCCCUUUUCCCUUGACCCUCUAAUCUCAGACUGACCGGUCCACGGCCCUGCUGGAAGUGGGCAAAUGCUCUUCUGACCUCACUGUCCAGAAUUCGAUUAGGGACCCAGAAGUAACCUGAGAGGCUGCAAAAUAAAGAGUGAUGUCACAGCUUGUCAGUGACCUCUGCUAA